This 658-nucleotide ribosomal RNA is filed under the name uncultured bacterium. RNAcentral's name for it is "bacterial SSU rRNA". It matches the Rfam family "Bacterial small subunit ribosomal RNA", at positions 214 to 863 of the family's 1533-position model. The record is from RNAcentral.
UGCGCUAAUAGAUGAGCCUAAGUCAGAUUAGCUAGUUGGUGGGGUAAAGGCCUACCAAGGCGACGAUCUGUAGCGGGUCUGAGAGGAUGAUCCGCCACACUGGGACUGAGACACGGCCCAGACUCCUACGGGAGGCAGCAGUGGGGAAUAUUGGACAAUGGGCGAAAGCCUGAUCCAGCCAUGCCGCGUGUGUGAAGAAGGCCUUUUGGUUGUAAAGCACUUUAAGCGAGGAGGAGGCUACUUGGAUUAAUACUCUAGGAUAGUGGACGUUACUCGCAGAAUAAGCACCGGCUAACUCUGUGCCAGCAGCCGCGGUAAUACAGAGGGUGCGAGCGUUAAUCGGAUUUACUGGGCGUAAAGCGUGCGUAGGCGGCUUUUUAAGUCGGAUGUGAAAUCCCUGAGCUUAACUUAGGAAUUGCAUUCGAUACUGGGAAGCUAGAGUAUGGGAGAGGAUGGUAGAAUUCCAGGUGUAGCGGUGAAAUGCGUAGAGAUCUGGAGGAAUACCGAUGGCGAAGGCAGCCAUCUGGCCUAAUACUGACGCUGAGGUACGAAAGCAUGGGGAGCAAACAGGAUUAGAUACCCUGGUAGUCCAUGCCGUAAACGAUGUCUACUAGCCGUUGGGGCCUUUGAGGCUUUAGUGGCGCAGCUAACGCGAUAA